UGCAGUUCUUGACUGUGGACAACCGCCUCUUUUAUUAUUUUAAACCUCAUUCCUCUCGCCUGAAGCAGCUCUUAAAAGCUGCAGACAACUGCCUGUUUUGAAGUUUCUAGUCCUUCUCUGCCUAACCCUAAGUGGAAUCAGUGCCGGGUCAGCACUGUUCCAACUGAGUCUGUAUCCUACCGCACCUCCAGCAACACUUUAAAAAAUGAAGUUUAAAACCAGCACUAGCAUAAAUACCUGUUGCUCACUGUGCCCGAUAUGAUCUUCUUUUUCUUUCCUUCUCGUGGAGCCCCACACAUAAGACAGCGACCCCUCAAUGUUUUCCCGCCGUUUCUAGAUCCCUGGUUUAGGGCGCCAACCUGUAGUAGGAGGCCGGCCUGCAGCUUACAGACGCUCCAUAGAAAAUCCCAAGAAGAACUGGGGUUAAUUUCAUGCAAGCCAGUGUGACUUCAUGUGGCACACACUGUUCUGAUUUUCUUGCAGAUAUAGCCAAGGUAAAAGACACAGAUAUUGAACAACAGCAACAACAAGCUCUCCAUAGUAAAGAGAAUUUUCCUCAUAAGUAAUUUUCCUGUGGAGAUCAACAGAAAAGAGCUCGUGAAGCAGUCGGGUUGUACAUUCUGUUUGCCAGGCCGAGGCAGUGGGAAGGGCAUCAGUGAGAUGUAGGUUUGUUUGAUUCUCCUUCCAGCCAUAAUGAAAAUGUAUAGAAGCACAGCAAACCCCACUGGCGAUUAAAGAUGAGGCAGGGGAGUUGGGGGAAUGGCUUUUUAAGCAAGAGCACUGACUGCUCUACCACAGGAAUGAGAUUCUAAUCUCAGCACCCCACAUUGCUUCUUACAUCCAUCUGUAAGGCCAGUUCCAGCCCUCUUCUGAUGUUGAUUUGCACUGCAUGCAUAUAGUACACAGGUACUCAUGUGCAGGCAAUACAGGUGAAAUAAACUUAGAAAUAAAAGCAUUCUCCCUGCCUCUGACGAUGCCAAAGCUCCAUGCCUUUGUAAGUAAGAGAACUCCUUGUGCACUGCUUGUUUGACAUCUGGCGUUCACUUCUGAUUGCUGAUUUAUGAUAGAAUAUUCAGUGGAGUACAACUCUCUAUAGUCACUGAUAUGAACCUGAAUACAAAGGUCAUGAAGUGCAGGCCCAAUAAUGCCAAAGAAGGAUAUCCUCUUCCAGCUGGUCCUGCAGGAUUUAUCACAGCACCUCUAUGGUCCUCUCUUGCCUGUUAAGUCUCUCUAUAAAGGACACUCUAUGGAUGGAUGGCAUAGUGUGUGGCCUGGCCUCACUGCAGCACCCUCUGUAACAUAGGAGUCAAUGAGCCAGUGGAAAGCUGAAGCUAAUCUGGUGUGAACCAAUGUGGCUAUAUCUUCUACAGGCAGAAAUGAGUGAGCCACUCUGUUUAUUUUCAUGCAGAAUCAACUCAUCUAGAAUACUGGGACCUGAGAAAUAAAUCGUCUACUGUUUCUCCUGUGGUCAACAUACUUCUGGUCCCAGAACAAAAAACAGAAGAUAAAUAAAUAAAGUAGAAGAAAAGAAAAAAAGAGGAGGCACUACUUUUUAUUAAAAGCCUCCAUACUGCUCCAUAUCGUGUAGAAGACACCAGACUUCCCGGCUCUGGGCACCUGUGACACAUGCUGCUACCUGGGCUGUUUAUGAACAACAAUCUUUGGGACCAGCCUCAGAGUAACUUCAACAGCUGUCUGCAUAGAUCAAGGCAGAUCUCUAUGAUCAACUUCAGGUCCCUAUUUCUCUUGCCUAUUUAGGCAAAUUAACAUCUCUUUAUGAUAUAUUCUUAGAACUUUGUGUUUCUAUGUGCUUUUAGCUUCAUUAAAGGUCCAUAAACUGAGUCCCUUUGUUUUUUAUUUAAGUCUGAGUAUUCCUAUGGAGUCCAGAAUACAGUAUUAAAUAGCUGUGAUGAUAGUAAUUGUGCCCCACCGAAUGUGACUACUUAGAACUGAACUCCAGUUCUCUGCAAGAGCAGCCAACAUACUUAGCUACUGAGCCACUGUUUCAGCACCUACAUCUCCAUCUUGGAGGCACAUUUGAUAUUUUGAUAGGAUCUGGCCACAGAUUCAGACAGGUUUAAAUGUACUCUCACAGACUAUCUGCAACACCAAAGAGAAGAGGAAAACUGUCUACAAGAGGGAGACAUCAUCCCUGAGAAUCCUAUGUAGUGCAUCCCAUGUAGUAUGCCUGAAUUCUGGAAGCUGACCUUUGGUUCCAUUCCUCUGGAGACUCUUCAUAAGUCCACUGGGUACCUGAGUAGUCUAAGACAGCCAACUUCAGGGGUGCUUCUUCAAAAGCUGGCUUGGUCCCAGGAGAACACUCCAGAUGACCAGUUCUCACACAAAGGUGAUAAAGGCCAUGGCCCUGCCACAGCAUUGUGGAAACAUGGUUCAGGGCCUUGCACUUGCAAGGCAAGCAUUCUUUCCAAGAACCACACCCUCAGUCACAAAACCUCUUUGGAAAGUAGUUUUCAUUGAAGGAACAUGGAUAUUUUCCUGAAAGUGUCAAAUUGCAUAUCUUUAUAUUUUAAAAAUGUUUUCUUAAGUAGCAAUUAACCAGUUACCAUUAUAGUCCAUAAAGGUCAGAAAUUUUUCAGCAUAUCACAAAGAAAGGUAAAUAUAUUACUUAUUUUAAAAUGUGAUUUUAUAAAAUGCACAUCAGUGAAGCCUGCCUCAUUCGACAUUUCUCCCCUGGAAAAGUUAGUCCUUUAUUGAAUGAAUGCCACUUUCUGAGUGCAAAGAAGCCACUCCAGCAUGGAUUGGAAACUUUUGAGAUAUACCGAUUUUAUCUGUGUGUUUGUGUAUUGAUCAUAUGGGACACUUGCAUAUGUGUGUACAUGUAUGUAGACAUCAGAGGUCAACUUCAGAUGUUUGUUGUUCCUCAGGAACCAUCCACGUUUUUUUGGUUGGUUGGUUGGUUGGUUGGGUUUUUUUGUUUUUUGUUUUU
Molecule: long non-coding RNA, 2947 nt
Organism: Mus musculus (house mouse)
Lineage: Eukaryota; Metazoa; Chordata; Mammalia; Rodentia; Muridae
Product: predicted gene 29415
Exons: 3
Source: RefSeq, a predicted model, not a curated record